AUGAACGCUAGCGACAGGCUAACACAUGCAGGUCGAGGGGUAACAGGGUAGCAAUACCGCUGACGACCGGCGCACGGGUGAGUAACGCGUAUGCAACCUGCCUAUAACUGGGGAAUAGCUCCCUGAAAGGGGAAUUAACACCGCAUAACACUAUUGAUUCGCAUGGAUUGGUAGUUAAAUGUAGCGAUACAGGUUAUAGAUGGGCAUGCGUGACAUUAGCUAGUUGGUGAGGUAACGGCUCACCAAGGCUACGAUGUCUAGGGGUUCUGAGAGGAAGGUCCCCCACACUGGUACUGAGACACGGACCAGACUCCUACGGGAGGCAGCAGUGAGGAAUAUUGGUCAAUGGGCGCAAGCCUGAACCAGCCAUGUCGCGUGCAGGAAGACUGCCCUAUGGGUUGUAAACUGCUUUUAUAGUAGAAGAAACACAUCUACGCGUAGAUGUCUGCCAGUAUACUAUGAAUAAGCAUCGGCUAACUCCGUGCCAGCCGCUGC
Molecule: ribosomal RNA, 495 nt
Filed under: uncultured bacterium
Lineage: Bacteria
Description: bacterial SSU rRNA
Rfam family: Bacterial small subunit ribosomal RNA
Source: RNAcentral